This is a long non-coding RNA of Phyllostomus discolor (pale spear-nosed bat), 2669 nucleotides long. RefSeq lists it as uncharacterized. NCBI's taxonomy places the organism in Eukaryota, Metazoa, Chordata, Mammalia, Chiroptera, Phyllostomidae. The record is from RefSeq and is a predicted model, not a curated record. The transcript has 3 exons.
GCCCCCCAACUUUAUAACGAGUUCUCGUGGCUCUAAUUUCUCCCCAGUUCCCUAUUUAUCGCACUUACUCCUCCAGAUUAGCCAGGCCAGGCCCGGGUAGGUGCCAGCUGAUCUCACACUGCCCUCCUCUUCACCAGGUUUAGACGCGCCCGUCUGCUGGGACUUCAGUUCUUUGCAGAAGGUCCUCCUGAAAAGCAGAGGCAGAAACGUCAAAUCCAUCAGACCCUAUGGAGAGGGAAGCCUGGACCCCACGACCAGUGAGAGCAUGGACUUGGACGUCGCUGAUUGCACAUGUCCUUUUCCAACACGUGCCCGGUGCCGGGCCCUCUUCUAGGAACGCGGGUCCUCCCGUGAGCAAACGAGACAGAAACGUCUGCCUUUGUGGAGCUUAGGUUACAGGGAAAGGAAACUGAAUAGGGGACAAGCAAGUGAAGUACAGCCGUAGGUCAGAUGGUAAUAAAUGCUGAGGGUAAAUAAGUGGAAUGGAGAAGAGAGAUUGAGGAGGACAACCGUGGGGUGUGGGGUUGGUUUCUACCUUCCACUUUGUCUCCUAAUAGUAAACCCAGGGCUGGGAGCAGCAGCGGAGAGAGAAAACGUGGUCGUCAUGCUCGGAACUGGGGAGUCGCCAUUCAUUUUGGAACGAUGUCCUCGGGACCCACGUACUUUCAGGGUCAUUUGUGAGAAGCUUCCCCCUCCCUCACCUGGCAAAUUCCAGAGGUUUGAACAUCUGUUCUGCUGACCAACCACAGAUGAUGAAGACUGUCAGUAAUAAUAUACUUAUUGGACUGAAAAAAAUCUGCUUCUGAAGACUGGGUUUCCAGGUCUUUCCUGAAAAGUCUGGAAAGCAGCAGGAGCACCAGAAGCCAGACCUCAGCAGGUUGAGGGGUCUCCACUUCCAGGAGCCCUCCGGAAGGUACGCCUAGAAGACACCCUCUUCCUUCAUUCCUCACAAGAAAUGUCUUGCUAUCCCCGUUUUUCCCAGGAGGGGGCAGCACAACCUCAGAAGAAGCAGACCUGCCAGAAGUGAAUUUGCCAUUUGGUGGCGCCAUAGCAGCCAAAAUGAGGUCAAGAUAUUUAAGGGGUGGGUGGGGUGCUCACAAUAUGAUUGUGUUCUAUUUCUGUGUUUCCACCAAUUUUUGACAAUUCAGGGCUCUGUUGUAGUCUGUGUGUUGCCACUUAACCUUUAGCACUGUGAUGCCCCCAGACUGAGCCAUGCCCUCACAUGCAGCGUGGUAUUUGUCCUUGCAUCAGGCAGGGUGCCCGGUGCAUCUGUCUAUCACCUUCACCUGUGGAUGUGGAUUUGCUCAGCCUACUUGGAACACAUGAACACAUGACAUAUUGGUGUUUUUGUAGCAGAAAGAGCGCCAGACAGGAGGUUGAACUACACCAGUUAGAAUUCUGUUUCCCUUGGUCAUUGAGCCAGGUGACUCCUGGGAAGUCACCAGACUCCUCCAAGCCUCAGUUUUCUCACCCGAAGACACAGGGUGACUGUGAGGAUCAGAAGAGACCAUCUAACAACCCAGUGAACUCUAAGUCACUGGAAUAUUUCAGGCUAGUCUACGGUGAGGUGGUAUAAUAUAUGGGGAAGAGAGUAAGGAGAAGAAAGAAUCUCAUUCCACCUAAAAGUUCUGUAAUUUUACAUUCUGACCUGGAAUCUGACUCUUGACUCUUCCUUACAGAGGUCAGAAGCGCCCCCAUCUGUGGCCAGCCCAGCCUCUCCUGACACCCCCAACCUGGUGCUAUAUUUCUUGAAAAUAGACAGGAUCCCUACCUGCCCCUGUCAACACAUCUCAGCCAAUCAGAGCCCCUUAGUACAGGGACGUCGGUGGUAAAGGUCUGAGUGCAGCAGGAUCAUGUCCAGAGUGGACCUUUGGCCAGAAGCAAGCCAGGGAGAUAAACACUGGCAGGGUGGAGACAACGUGUUUCCCAGAUGGCCACGGGUGUGCCUCUCCCACACCAGACCUCCACUGGUUAGAUGGCACUUUUAUGGUUCUCUUUAAAAGCCUGAGCUUGUCCAGAGCAGAACUCAAUUGUCCCUGCUCGCUCCUCUGCAUGUAGACACAGCGGAAUCCUCACCUGUCUUGUGUCUAAGAAGAAAUCUUCAUAGUCUUACUUAUUCCACAUAACACUGUACAGCAGUAGUAAUGACGGCUUGAUUUAUACAGUACUGCAUUAACUGUGUGCUUGGUGCUCUUCUGAGUGCUUGACAUCGAACUCACCUACCAUCAACAACCUGGGGAUAAGAGCUUGACGGUCAUUCUUAUUUUGUCAGAGAAGAAAGCAUGGCUCAGAGAGGCUUCGAGACUUCCCCACCAGAAGCACAUGACUGGGACCUAAACCCAGGAGAGGUGGGCCCAGCGUCGUUCUCCUUAACUAGCACCUAAUAUCAGCUCUACAGCAUGCUUUCACUUGCUCAGUCUGAGCUUGACAGCAAAACGGCAAGCAAGGUGAUGAAAGUCAAAAAAGAAAGUUACGCGAGAACUCAGAGAAGAGAAGGGGCAGGCCUGCCGCCGGCCCUGGCAGCGCAGUCGGCCCUAAAAUGGGAUAUUUUACUCAGUCAAUUUCAGCAAGUACAGCAAGUAAACAAAUCUGCCCAGCACUGUCCCAUGUGGCCAGAGCCUACAAGAAACAAAGUAGCAAGUCUAAAAUAAAUCAGAGGAGCUGCGGUU